UACGUAGGGGGCAAGCGUUGUCCGGAAUCAUUGGGCGUAAAGAGCGUGUAGGCGGCCCGGUAAGUCCGCUGUGAAAGUCCAGGGCUCAACCCUGGGAUGCCGGUGGAUACUGUCGGGCUCGAGUCCGGAAGAGGCGAGUGGAAUUCCUGGUGUAGCGGUGGAAUGCGCAGAUAUCAGGAGGAACACCGAUGGCGAAGGCAGCUCGCUGGGACGGUACUGACGCUGAGAAGCGAAAGCAUGGGGAGCGAACAGG
Molecule: ribosomal RNA, 253 nt
Filed under: uncultured bacterium
Lineage: Bacteria
Description: partial 16S ribosomal RNA
Rfam family: Bacterial small subunit ribosomal RNA
Source: RNAcentral